UGGUGGAGUGAUUUGUCUGGUUAAUUUCGUUAACGAACGAGACCUCCGCCUGCUAAAUAGUGACGCUUUUGCUUGCAAAUGCGGUUAUAUCUUCUUAGAGGGACACUCGGUGUUUAGCCGAGGGAAGUUGGAGGCAAUAACA
RNAcentral lists this ribosomal RNA (142 nucleotides) under uncultured eukaryote. RNAcentral's name for it is "partial 18S ribosomal RNA". It matches the Rfam family "Eukaryotic small subunit ribosomal RNA", at positions 1299 to 1458 of the family's 1831-position model. The record is from RNAcentral.